CUGGGCCUGGCACAUAGAAGCAUCCAAUAAAAGGUAUCUGCUUUUAUGGUUAUUGUUUGUUUCAAUGUUACUUCUUCUUUUUUUUUUAAUUUAUUUAUUUGACAGACAGAGAUCACAAGCAGGCAGAGAGGCAGACAGAGAGAGAGAGAGAGAGAGAGAGGAGGAAGCAGGUUCCUUGCUAAGCAGAGAGCCCGAGUGGGGCUCAAUCCCAGGACCUGUGCCAAAGGCAGAGGCUUUAACCCACUGAGCCACCCGGGCCCCCUACUUCUUCAAUUCUUAAAUGACUAACAGUGAGCAACAUGCAUAACUUCUCUGAGCCUUGUCUUUAAAACUGGAAUAAAAUGCUUUGAGCCUCUGAGGAGGUAAAUAGGAUAAUGGGUGUAGUGUACUUGACAGCUUACCUAUCUAAACUUCAGAUUUCUCCUUUUUAAAAUGGGAAAAUCCUUUUAGGGUUUCAUCAGAAUGAAAGGAAAUGACCUAGCUAAAGUCUCUAGCACAGUACUGAGGACACAUUUAUUUACUUUAAAAACUUAGCUGCUUAAGGGAGGCAACUUUUUUAAAUGAUAAAAGUAAGUAUACCUUAAACUUAAAUGGUGAUGGAAGUCAAUUAGAUCAUGCCUAUGGGGAAAACCAUACAGAAAUCUUGGUGGUUUAACAGCAGGGAAGUUUAUUUCUGCUCAUACCCAGAUCACAAGAGUCUGGGUGACUUGUAUGGGUGCUGUCCCCCCAUGGUGACCCCUGUGAUCUUCGGGACCCUCCGCGGCCACCACGCCAGGGUUGCUGCGGAGGCAGAGAGAGACUGGGCCGCGGAGUGAACCACCGGCGAUUAAACUCUGUGAUCUCACCCGGAAGUGACGAAUUACUUCCCUCACAUCUCAUUGGCCAAAGCAGGUCACGUGGCCAUGCCUGUCCCCAGAGGUCGAGGACUUGAAAUCCUUCCGCACGCCUGGAAAUGGACGUGAGUCGGCCACGUCUGGAAUCACAAGAUCGGUUGGAGAGCUCUAAGGCCAUGCCAGCCAAGAUGGUGGCCACUGGAUGCUUGUGGCUACUUAAUUUUAGAUGGGUGCAAAUGAAGUCCAAUGAAAAGUUCAGUUUCUCGGUUAUACUGGCCACAUGUCAAAUGCUCACUAGCCAAAUGGGCAACAGACAUCUCAGAAGGCCCCAGUGGAGGGUGCUGCUCGAAGACCCCAGGAUCUUGAACGGCCAUGUGGAAGGCUAUCCACCCACUAAAGACACCCAUGUGGAGCUAUGUGUGCAAGUAAGCA
RNAcentral lists this long non-coding RNA (1265 nucleotides) under Mustela putorius furo (domestic ferret). Its description in RNAcentral is "lncRNA (ENSMPUG00000027783.1)". The record is from RNAcentral. Lineage: Eukaryota; Metazoa; Chordata; Mammalia; Carnivora; Mustelidae.